This 74-nucleotide transfer RNA is filed under the name Perkinsus olseni. RNAcentral's name for it is "tRNA-Gly". It matches the Rfam family "tRNA". Rfam says of the family: Transfer RNA (tRNA) molecules are approximately 80 nucleotides in length. Their secondary structure includes four short double-helical elements and three loops (D, anti-codon, and T loops). Further hydrogen bonds mediate the characteristic L-shaped molecular structure. tRNAs have two regions of fundamental functional importance: the anti-codon, which is responsible for specific mRNA codon recognition, and the 3' end, to which the tRNAs corresponding amino acid is attached (by aminoacyl-tRNA synthetases). tRNAs cope with the degeneracy of the genetic code in two manners: having more than one tRNA (with a specific anti-codon) for a particular amino acid; and 'wobble' base-pairing, i.e. permitting non-standard base-pairing at the 3rd anti-codon position. Lineage: Eukaryota; Perkinsozoa; Perkinsida; Perkinsidae. The record is from RNAcentral.
GCUGGAAUGGUCUAGUUGGUUAUGACGACUGCCAACCACGCAGUAGGUCCCGAGUUCGACUCUCGGUUCCACUA